GGAUAACGGAGCAGAUGGUGAGCUACGGACCGAGUCAAAGUUCAGACCAAUGAGACGACAAGUACCUACCGCCGAGCCUGAAGUUGUCAGAGCAACCGGAAUGAUGCCUUUGAUGGAAUUGACCCCGGAGAACACUAAAUCCAGCUCUGGGCAAAGGACGGAUCUGUCAGAGGACGAUCCUUGUUUUGCUGUUGAGGAAGUGGUUGAAUAGGGCGUAUGCACAAUAAAUUCAUAUGUAUUGAAUGUAGUGGCAGGUAGAUGUGAAGGUUUUAUGUUCUGGGACAAAGUGUCUGUCCCACACAUGUUAGGUGUAGCCCCUGCCGCAAGAAGGUUU
RNAcentral lists this long non-coding RNA (334 nucleotides) under Salmo salar (Atlantic salmon). RNAcentral's name for it is "lncRNA (ENSSSAG00000084769.1)". The record is from RNAcentral. Lineage: Eukaryota; Metazoa; Chordata; Actinopteri; Salmoniformes; Salmonidae.